GUUAAUUGAUUAUGACGUGCUUGCACUGAAUGAGAUUUUAACACGAAGUGAGUGGCGGACGGGUGAGUAACACGUGGGUAACCUGCCCAGAAGCAGGGGAUAACACCUGGAAACAGAUGCUAAUACCGUAUAACAGAGAAAACCGCCUGGUUUUCUUUUAAAAGAUGGCUCUGCUAUCACUUCUGGAUGGACCCGCGGCGCAUUAGCUAGUUGGUGAGGUAACGGCUCACCAAGGCGAUGAUGCGUAGCCGACCUGAGAGGGUAAUCGGCCACAUUGGGACUGAGACACGGCCCAGACUCCUACGGGAGGCAGCAGUAGGGAAUCUUCCACAAUGGACGCAAGUCUGAUGGAGCAACGCCGCGUGAGUGAAGAAGGGUUUCGGCUCGUAAAGCUCUGUUGUUAAAGAAGAACGUGGGUGAGAGUAACUGUUCACCCAGUGACGGUAUUUAACCAGAAAGCCACGGCUAACUACGUGCCAGCAGCCGCGGUAAUACGUAGGUGGCAAGCGUUAUCCGGAUUUAUUGGGCGUAAAGCGAGCGCAGGCGGUCUUUUAAGUCUAAUGUGAAAGCCUUCGGCUCAACCGAAGAAGUGCAUUGGAAACUGGGAGACUUGAGUGCAGAAGAGGACAGUGGAACUCCAUGUGUAGCGGUGAAAUGCGUAGAUAUAUGGAAGAACACCAGUGGCGAAGGCGGCUGUCUGGUCUGUAACUGACGCUGAGGCUCGAAAGCAUGGGUAGCGAACAGGAUUAGAUACCCUGGUAGUCCAUGCCGUAAACGAUGAUUACUAAGUGUUGGAGGGUUUCCGCCCUUCAGUGCUGCAGCUAACGCAUUAAGUAAUCCGCCUGGGGAGUACGACCGCAAGGUUGAAACUCAAAAGAAUUGACGGGGGCCCGCACAAGCGGUGGAGCAUGUGGUUUAAUUCGAAGCUACGCGAAGAACCUUACCAGGUCUUGACAUCUUCUGCCAACCUAAGAGAUUAGGCGUUCCCUUCGGGGACAGAAUGACAGGUGGUGCAUGGUUGUCGUCAGCUCGUGUCGUGAGAUGUUGGGUUAAGUCCCGCAACGAGCGCAACCCUUAUUACUAGUUGCCAGCAUUCAGUUGGGCACUCUAGUGAGACUGCCGGUGACAAACCGGAGGAAGGUGGGGACGACGUCAAAUCAUCAUGCCCCUUAUGACCUGGGCUACACACGUGCUACAAUGGAUGGUACAACGAGUUGCGAAACCGCGAGGUUUAGCUAAUCUCUUAAAACCAUUCUCAGUUCGGACUGUAGGCUGCAACUCGCCUACACGAAGUCGGAAUCGCUAGUAAUCGCGGAUCAGCAUGCCGCGGUGAAUACGUUCCCGGGCCUUGUACACACCGCCCGUCACACCAUGAGAGUUUGUAACACCCAAAGCCGG
This 1398-nucleotide ribosomal RNA is filed under the name Pediococcus acidilactici. Its description in RNAcentral is "bacterial SSU rRNA". It matches the Rfam family "Bacterial small subunit ribosomal RNA", at positions 61 to 1430 of the family's 1533-position model. The record is from RNAcentral. Lineage: Bacteria; Bacillati; Bacillota; Bacilli; Lactobacillales; Lactobacillaceae.